This is a non-coding RNA of Acanthosepion pharaonis, 106 nucleotides long. NCBI's taxonomy places the organism in Eukaryota, Metazoa, Mollusca, Cephalopoda, Sepiida, Sepiidae. The record is from the annotation of a GenBank genome assembly.
UUACGGCCAUAUGACGUUGAAACACCGCUUCCUGUACGAUCACCAAAGUUAAGCAACAUCAAGGCUGAUAUGUACCUAGAUGGGUGACCGCUUGUGAAGAGCAGGU